AUUGAACGCUGGCGGCAUGCCUUACACAUGCAAGUCGAACGGCAGCGCGGGCUUCGGCCUGGCGGCGAGUGGCGAACGGGUGAGUAAUACAUCGGAACGUGCCCUGUUGUGGGGGAUAACUAGUCGAAAGAUUAGCUAAUACCGCAUACGACCUGAGGGUGAAAGCGGGGGACCGCAAGGCCUCGCGCAAUAGGAGCGGCCGAUGUCUGAUUAGCUAGUUGGUGGGGUAAAGGCCUACCAAGGCGACGAUCAGUAGCUGGUCUGAGAGGACGAUCAGCCACACUGGGACUGAGACACGGCCCAGACUCCUACGGGAGGCAGCAGUGGGGAAUUUUGGACAAUGGGGGCAACCCUGAUCCAGCAAUGCCGCGUGUGUGAAGAAGGCCUUCGGGUUGUAAAGCACUUUUGUCCGGAAAGAAAUCGCGCUGGCUAAUACCUGGCGUGGAUGACGGUACCGGAAGAAUAAGCACCGGCUAACUACGUGCCAGCAGCCGCGGUAAUACGUAGGGUGCGAGCGUUAAUCGGAAUUACUGGGCGUAAAGCGUGCGCAGGCGGUUUUGUAAGACAGGCGUGAAAUCCCCGAGCUCAACUUGGGAAUGGCGCUUGUGACUGCAAGGCUAGAGUAUGUCAGAGGGGGGUAGAAUUCCACGUGUAGCAGUGAAAUGCGUAGAGAUGUGGAGGAAUACCGAUGGCGAAGGCAG
This 701-nucleotide ribosomal RNA is filed under the name uncultured beta proteobacterium. RNAcentral's name for it is "bacterial SSU rRNA". It matches the Rfam family "Bacterial small subunit ribosomal RNA", at positions 28 to 724 of the family's 1533-position model. Lineage: Bacteria; Pseudomonadati; Pseudomonadota; Betaproteobacteria. The record is from RNAcentral.